Long non-coding RNA from Cryptomeria japonica (Japanese cedar), 4322 nucleotides. RefSeq lists it as uncharacterized. The record is from RefSeq and is a predicted model, not a curated record. The transcript is spliced from 2 exons. Lineage: Eukaryota; Viridiplantae; Streptophyta; Pinopsida; Cupressales; Cupressaceae.
UGUAAAAAUAACAAAAUUUGAUGUUGAAUCUUGAGGGCAAAAUGAUGAAUGAAGUUUCAACAUCAAAUCUCAUUUUGAGAUGAAUAGGAAAAUAAAUUUAUUUGUUAAACUAGGCUGAUUUUUUAUUUAUUUUUAUUUUGUGAAAUGCAAUGUCAAUUUCACAAUGAGCUCCCAAGGCAUAAGUGAGGAUGAGAUGGAAAUCCAUUCUCAUUGUGAGAAUGAUUCAGAAUUUGAACUUGAAAAUGAGGGGGGUGACCAUGGGGAUGAUCCUAGAGCCCAAUCUAGUUCUAUGGCGAGUGCACCAGCUAGUACAGGUUGCCCUUCAGAGUUGUUGGCACCGUAUGCUAGGGGUCCUUUUGAUCCUAUGUCUCCUCUCAAACAGUUUGCUUCAAGUAUAUCAAUACAAGGCACAUCACAUUCAAGUGGAGGAACAAAGAAGUGGAAAUGCAACAUUUGUGACACUGAAUGGUCUGGUAGCAUUAGUAGGGUGAAUGCACACUUUCCUUUUUGGAGAGGAAAAGGUGUGAGACAUUGCAAGUUUUUGGAGGAAGCUAAAAAUAUACAGUACAAAAUUGAGUUUAACAGGCUUUGGGGGGUUCCAGAUGACACAAAUAUUUCAAUGCCUACUACUUUGUCUGCUAGGGCAGCCCUUUAGCACAACCAGAAUCCACCACAUACUUCUCAUGCUUCGUAGACAGGAGGAAUGAUGUUUGGAUUUGCAUCCACUUCCACUUCUAGUGCCGCUAGAGCAGGGAAACGUAGGUUGCAGACACCAUAGAGUAACCCCAUUGCUGAAAUGUUUAAUGUGGAGCUAAGAGAUGAGAUAGAUGAAUCCAUUGGCAAGUUCUUCUUUGCCAAUGGCAUUCUAUUUCAUGUUACACGGUCUCCUUAUUAUAGGGAGAUGAUGGCUAUGGUGGCGAAGGGAGGACCAUCUUAUGUGCCACCAGGGAAGACGAAAAUGAGGACCUCGAUCUUGGAUAAAUGCUAUUCCAAGAUCAAUAUUUUGAUGAAGAAGAUGAAGGCAUGUUGGGUGGCAUCGGGGUGCAACAUAGUUAUGGAUGGGUGGACGAACAUUAGCCAUCAUCCACUCAUCAACAUCAUGGUCACAUGUGCAGAGGGCCCAUACUUCCUUAGAGCAAUUGAUUGUACAGGGCAUCGUAAAGAUGCUGAUUUCCAGUUUCAGGUCCUCAGGGAGGCUAUUGAGGAGGUUGGGCCACAAAAUGUGGUCCAAGUAGUGACAGAUGCAGCCCAUGUGUGUAGAGAAGCAGGGAGACUCAUUGAGGCAGCCUAUAGACACAUUUGGUGGACCCCAUGUUGUGUACAUGCCAUGAACAAUGCACUCAAGGACAUGGGGAAGAUUGACUGGAUUAGAGGAGUGGUCGCCGAUGUGAGAGAUGUGCAGAUGUUUAUCUGAAACCACCACACUUCACAUGCACUCUUAAAGACCUUUGCGAAGGAUUUCUUGAAACCAGUUGAGACCAGAUAUGCAUCCUAUUUCAUUCUCUUGGAGAGAAUGAUUGAGUUGCAAGAGGCAUUGCAACUCAUGGUUAUGACUAAUGAGUGGAAUAGGUGGGUUGAGGCCAAGAUAGAGCAGGGGAGAAGGGUGAAGGAGAUAGUGAAGAGUGAUGUGUUUUGGACUGAUGCGAAAUACAUUGUCUCCAUCAUUUCUCCAGUAUUCCAGGUGAUCAGUUAUGGGGAUGGGGAUGCACCUAACCUUGGAGAGGUGUAUGAGUGCAUUGACUCUAUGCUUGACCAAAUGAGGGUUGCUGUGCGAGUGAAGGACCCCUCUUUAGCAUUCUACAAUGAGCAAAUCCAGCCUAUCAUUCAAUGUAGAUGGGACAAGUUGAACACUCCUUUGCAUAUGGCUGCCUUUGCCUUGAAUCCUAACUGGUACAAGGCUAGACCGGGUAGAGUGAUCGAUUUAGGAUGAUGAGGUGAAGGCGGGUUUCUUUAGGUGCGUAGAGAAGAUGUUUGAUUCCAGAGAUGCCGACACCAUUCGUACUGAGUGGGGAAGAUUUGCCACUCUUAGAGGUUAUUCAGAUGCGGCAAAGAUGGAUAUAGAAACUAUGGCACAUGAGGAUCCACUUUUGUGGUGGAAUUGUCAUAGCUCGAAAUCUUUGACCACCACUCUAGUCAUCCGUCUGCUAUCCCAGGUUUCUAGUUCUUCAGCUGCUGAGAGGAACUGGUCUACAUAUAGCUUCAUCCACUCUCUUAAGAGGAACAAACUUACGUCUAAGAGAGCAAAGAAGCUUGUGGCUUUACAUUGUGCUUUGCAUCUCAUGGACCGCAAGACACUUGUGUAUAAGGAGAGUCCAGCGACACGAUGGGAUGUAGAGCCAGAGGAGCCUUCACAGAUUGAUGAGGAUGAUCCUACCACUUCAGAUGCAGGGCUAGUUGGUGUGAGCUUGAGGGAUCUUGAUCUUUAGGAGUCCAGCAGUUCCAGUGAGGAGGAGUUCUCAGAUGAUUAGAGGCCUCCAUUAGCUACAUUUUGAGUUUUGUCAUUUUGUCUUUGACUCUAGUCUCUUUUGUAAUGCUAUUGCUAUUAGUAUUUGUAUUUGGCUACUCAUUGUAAUGAUGAAUCAUGUAAUCAUCUUUAUUAUUAUAGACUUUGCAAUGGCAUCAUAUAUUCAUAUUUUCCUUUUUCGAUAUAAUUGAAAUCUCCAAUUUGACAAUUUCAUUUGUCAGGUUUUAUUUAGCAAUUAGCAAUUAGCAUUGAAGAAAUCUUGGUAUUUAGAUUUAGUAUUUCAAAUUUCCUAUAGUUUCAUUUGAAAUGUAAUUCUUAUACUGUUAUAUUGUCAUACAUCUUUUCAAAACUAGUUUUUCAAGUACUAUAUGUAUAUGUAUAACUAUAUCAGCACCACCACCCCGCCACCCCCCCCCCCCGCUGUCCCCAAACUUAGGCCCUUGGUCCCCCCGUCCUGGAAACCUGUCCCCUCGUCCACCCCGUCCUGGAAGCCCGUCCCCACGUCCCCCCCGUCCCCAAUGCCCGUGGAACACUGUAUAUUAAUAUUCUUAGAAAAGGCUACCUUUUUUUAAUUGUGGUUCUUGUUUAAAGUUCUGUGGUUUAUGUACAUUUUUAAUGUCCCAUCCGUCUUUGUGGGUGAACCACAUGGUGAGGUACUUGGGCCAAGGAUUCUUGCUUUACACAUCUUGCAAUUGUUUCUUGACCUCGUUUGACCAAAUACAUUUGCAUAUUUAGGCCAAUGUUAGGCAAUGUCGAUUCGUGCCUAAUUGUUUUUGAUGUUCUAAUUUUGCAAUUGAGUGAUUGAAGCAUUCCUUUUAAUUGAUGCUUUUACACUUUUUGUGUGCAGCUGAAUUAAUCUAGAGGUCAUUAUUGCGUUGUUCACAUUGAUUCCUGGGGUAUUUGCAUUUGUGGACUGUAGUGUCAUUUCUUUUACCUUCACUACGUUCUUUUUUUCUGCCUUCCUGUAUUAUGUAUCCUGCUGAUUGGAAUUGGAAGAAUUUCCUUAAUAUGUUGUGUCUCCCACAUGCUUCAUUUGUAUGAUUUGGAUUGAGAGUUGAUUCGGGGCAUAGGGGUUCUUGAUGACAACACAAUAAAAUAAAUUCCAAUCUGUUAUGUGCAUAAAAUAAUUCAGAAGAGAUAAGAGUGCAACAAUAACAAAAUCAUAGUAUUGAACAAAAAAGAACCUCAAAAGACAACAGAACAUGUUAGAACUGUAAUGCAAUAUUUAGUUGUCUAUGCAUUAUGUUUCUUCAUCUAUUUAUUUGAAAAAUAGCAAUGUCCCAUUAAAAUACAAUUGAAGAAGACAAUGGUUUGACUUUGGUGGUCACGAGAAACCCAACUGGCCACAAGUUCAUAUCUGCAGUUUUCAUAAUUUGCAUUUUCUACAGUUUUGCCAAUGAAACUUGAUGCUGUUGGUGCCAUGCAGCAUAGAAUGUGGAGAAUUGGGACUUAAUGAUAUAUGAAUGUAUGCUUAGAAUGCUCUCUUCAAGCUGGCAGUGAAGAUGAAAUAUGGUGUAGAGAUCAUUUUGCAUUUUAGGGUCGAUCUUGGCUGCUUGAAGUUCUUUUGCAACAUUUACAUUCUAAUGAAGGUGGAAAAUAGUGGUGCAAGUAGAGUUGGAAUAUCGAACUCAAAAAUGUUAUCUCCAGCUUGUAAGUCUCUCUUUUGCAAAUGAAGUCCUACUUUGUACCAACUCUGAUUUGGUGUUUCGUUCAAUGCUGUUCAUGGCACUGCUUGUAUGGCUGCUUUGUCAAGGUCGUUAUGAGUUGAAGUAGCUGUUGUUGAUGGUGACAUCAGAUGAGUUACAUUAUUGGUUUGAACUUACUUUUGAAUAUGUUUAAUAAAUGUCUGUUUAGUCAA